Molecule: long non-coding RNA, 257 nt
Filed under: Homo sapiens (human)
Lineage: Eukaryota; Metazoa; Chordata; Mammalia; Primates; Hominidae
Description: non-protein coding lnc-TSNAX-2:1
Source: RNAcentral
GCCCACUCCAGGAUGAGAGUACUGAGGUGCCAUAAAAGACCAACAGGCAAGAUGUUGGAGGGUUCAGGAGCUGCCAAGGUUGUGUUCAUGCUGACCUGUUGGCAUAGCGUACAGCAGUGCCAGCUGCUCUGCUAAACCGAGGAGCUGAGAUGCUGUGUUGAUUUCUACAUGUUCCAGGCAAAUACUUCCUGAGGAUUGUCAGGAUUUACAUAAUGGAUUGGCCCUGGGACCACUGAGCCAGCAUCUAUCUUUGACAG